UAGAACAAAACCACAGGCUCUCAAUUUCCCCGGCCCCAAGCACAGGACCACACAGGGAUAUCUAUAGCCUGAGGAAUCCAUUGAGAAGCGGAUAUCUGAGACUUAGUUUGUGGUGAGUGGUUACUGUCUAGAAAAG
Cricetulus griseus (Chinese hamster) is the source of this 136-nucleotide unclassified non-coding RNA. NCBI's taxonomy places the organism in Eukaryota, Metazoa, Chordata, Mammalia, Rodentia, Cricetidae. The record is from Ensembl.